This 250-nucleotide ribosomal RNA is filed under the name uncultured bacterium. RNAcentral's name for it is "partial 16S ribosomal RNA". It matches the Rfam family "Bacterial small subunit ribosomal RNA", at positions 524 to 774 of the family's 1533-position model. The record is from RNAcentral.
UACGUAGGUCCCGAGCGUUGUCCGGAUUUAUUGGGCGUAAAGCGAGCGCAGGCGGUUUGAUAAGUCUGAAGUAAAAGGCUGUGGCUUAACCAUAGUACGCUUUGGAAACUGUCAAACUUGAGUGCAGAAGGGGAGAGUGGAAUUCCAUGUGUAGCGGUGAAAUGCGUAGAUAUAUGGAGGAACACCGGUGGCGAAAGCGGCUCUCUGGUCUGUAACUGACGCUGAGGCUCGAAAGCGUGGGGAGCGAACA